Molecule: ribosomal RNA, 356 nt
Filed under: uncultured bacterium
Lineage: Bacteria
Description: bacterial SSU rRNA
Rfam family: Bacterial small subunit ribosomal RNA
Source: RNAcentral
GGGCCCGCACAAGCGGUGGAGUAUGUGGUUUAAUUCGACGCAACGCGCAGAACCUUACCCAACCUUAACUUCCCGAGAACGGAAAGGAGACUUUCCGGUGCCAGUAAUGGAACUCGGUGAUAGGUGCUGCAUGGCUGUCGUCAGCUCGUGUCGUGAGAUGUUCGGUUAAGUCCGGUAACGAGCGCAACCCCUAUUCUUAGUUGCCAGCGGUUCGGCCGGGGACUCUAGAGAAACUGCCAGCGUAAGCUGUGAGGAAGGUGGGGAUGACGUCAAAUCAUCACGGCCCUUACGUCCUGGGCUACACACGUGCUACAAUGCUACGGACAAAGGGCAGCAAGUUCGCGAGGACAAGCAAA